AUUGAACGCUGGCGGCAUGCCUUACACAUGCAAGUCGAACGGCAGCGCGGGCUUCGGCCUGGCGGCGAGUGGCGGACGGGUGAGUAAUGCAUCGGAACCUGCCCUUUAGUGGGGAAUAACCAGUCGAAAGACUGGCUAAUACCGCAUACGACCUACGGGUGAAAGCAGGGGAUCGCAAGACCUUGCGCUAAUGGAUGAGCCGAAGUCGGAUUAGCUAGUUGGUGAGGUAACGGCUCACCAAGGCGACGAUCCGUAGCUGGUCUGAGAGGACGACCAGCCACACUGGGACUGAGACACGGCCCAGACUCCUACGGGAGGCAGCAGUGGGGAAUAUUGGACAAUGGGGGAAACCCUGAUCCAGCGACGCCGCGUGUGUGAAGAAGGCCUGCGGGUUGUAAAGCACUUUUAGUGGGGAGGAAAACCCCUGACCUAACACGUCAGGAAUUGACUUAACCCAAAGAAAAAGCACCGGCUAACUCUGUGCCAGCAGCCGCCGUAA
Molecule: ribosomal RNA, 499 nt
Filed under: uncultured bacterium
Lineage: Bacteria
Description: partial 16S ribosomal RNA
Rfam family: Bacterial small subunit ribosomal RNA
Source: RNAcentral